RNAcentral lists this ribosomal RNA (249 nucleotides) under Acanthamoeba sp. TW78. Its description in RNAcentral is "partial 18S ribosomal RNA". The stretch from base 40 to 230 matches the Rfam family "Eukaryotic small subunit ribosomal RNA", at positions 797 to 974 of the family's 1831-position model. Lineage: Eukaryota; Discosea; Longamoebia; Acanthamoebidae. The record is from RNAcentral.
AGCGGGUUUACCGGAGAGCCCAUUCAUUUUCUGGCCGACGAAUACCUUAGCAUGGGAUAAUGGAAUAGGACCCUGUCCUCCUUUUUUCAGUUGGUUAAUUCAUGAGAGAGGAACAGGGUAAUGAUUAAUAGGGAUAGUUGGGGGCAUUAAUAUUUAAUUGUCAGAGGUGAAAUUCUUGGAUUUAUGAGAGAUUAACUUCUGCGAAAGCAUCUGCGGAGGAUGUUUUGAGUAAGGGGGGACGAAGAUUAG